This 255-nucleotide ribosomal RNA is filed under the name uncultured bacterium. RNAcentral describes it as "partial 16S ribosomal RNA". It matches the Rfam family "Bacterial small subunit ribosomal RNA", at positions 524 to 776 of the family's 1533-position model. The record is from RNAcentral.
CACGUAGGGCGCAAGCGUUGUCCGGAAUUAUUGGGCGUAAAGAGCUCGUAGGUGGUUUGUUACGUCCGCGGUGAAAUCCUAGGGCUUAACCCUGGGCUUGCAGUGGAUACGGGCAGACGUAGAGGUAGGUAGGGGAGGAAUGGAAUUCCUGGUGUAGCGGUGAAAUGCGCAGAUAUCAGGAGGAACACCGGUGGCGAAGGCGGUCUCUGGGCCUUACCUGACACUGAGGAGCGAAAGCGUGGGGGAGCGAACAGG